This 235-nucleotide unclassified non-coding RNA is filed under the name plant metagenome. RNAcentral's name for it is "partial contains small subunit ribosomal RNA, internal transcribed spacer 1, and 5.8S ribosomal RNA". The stretch from base 1 to 54 matches the Rfam family "Eukaryotic small subunit ribosomal RNA", at positions 1778 to 1831 of the family's 1831-position model. The record is from RNAcentral.
GGAAGUAAAGGUCGUAACAAGGUUUCCGUAGGUGAACCUGCGGAAGGAUCAUUCAUAAUAAGUGUUUUAUGGCACUUUUUUAAAUCCAUAUCCACCUUGUGUGCAAUGUCAGGGUUGAUUUUUCUCUCGGGAGGAUCAGCCCCAAACAUCAACUAUAUCUCAACUCUUUGUCUGAAAAAUAUUAUGAAUAAAACAAUUCAAAAUACAACUUUCAACAACGGAUCUCUUGGCUCUC